Molecule: non-coding RNA, 76 nt
Organism: Myotis lucifugus (little brown bat)
Lineage: Eukaryota; Metazoa; Chordata; Mammalia; Chiroptera; Vespertilionidae
Source: Rfam
GGCAGUUCUCAGGUGACGCACCCCAGAAUCAGGCUCCCUCCUCUCUGGUUCUGGAGUGUGUCACCCGAGAACCACC